Molecule: ribosomal RNA, 420 nt
Filed under: uncultured bacterium
Lineage: Bacteria
Description: bacterial SSU rRNA
Rfam family: Bacterial small subunit ribosomal RNA
Source: RNAcentral
GAGGAAUAUUGGUCAAUGGGUGCAAGCCUGAACCAGCCAUCCCGCGUGAAGGACGACUGCCCUAUGGGUUGUAAACUUCUUUUGUAUAGGGAUAAACCUACCCUCGUGAGGGUAGCUGAAGGUACUAUACGAAUAAGCACCGGCUAACUCCGUGCCAGCAGCCGCGGUAAUACGGAGGGUGCAAGCGUUAUCCGGAUUUAUUGGGUUUAAAGGGUCCGUAGGCGGACUUAUAAGUCAGUGGUGAAAGCCUGUCGCUUAACGAUAGAACUGCCAUUGAUACUGUAAGUCUUGAGUAUAUUUGAGGUAGCUGGAAUAAGUAGUGUAGCGGUGAAAUGCAUAGAUAUUACUUAGAACACCAAUUGCGAAGGCAGGUUACCGAGAUAUAACUGACGCUGAGGGACGAAAGCGUGGGAGCGAACA